This 703-nucleotide long non-coding RNA is filed under the name Coturnix japonica (Japanese quail). RNAcentral's name for it is "lncRNA (ENSCJPG00005008639.1)". The record is from RNAcentral. Lineage: Eukaryota; Metazoa; Chordata; Aves; Galliformes; Phasianidae.
ACAUCAGUUCCACAAGGAAUACCCAGUCUAGAAGAAUGACUCCAAAUAGGAAUACAAGACUAUUGAUACAGAUACUCUUUGGCAGUUAAUGACUCAUUGUGCAAAACUGCCACAUUUUCAUAACCAGUGUGAUUCUGUCACAGACUCCUACUUCGGUGAUAGGCAUUUCUACAGCAACAUUUAGGGAGGAAACUGGCCACUGACUUUAUUGUGUGCCUAAGACAAAGUGUUUGACUGGACUGAAAACAGGUGCCCUCAGCAUCAACAAAAAGAAUCUACUUGCAGCUGGCCUGUCUCUGAAGCAGAGCUUCUCCAAAGGAACUCUUGGAAUCUGUUAACUGCCUUAAAAGCCAACCGCUGUCUCAGGGUACCGAAAGAAGAGCAGGACCCAACUCAUGCAAGACUGGAAGCACAUGAAUGAGGAAGACUUAGAAAAAUAUAUAAAUUUAAACUCUGGAAGACAAAAUUCACUUAUCAUUAUAGAAAAUAGCAGUCAGCUCAACUGCACAAAAAUAACUCAGGCAGUUAUCUCUCACCAGCUUGCAACACUGUACUGAUAUAUUCUAUUUACUACUUUAUAUCCAUCUGCCAAACCCACCUGGGUUUCAUGUAGGGCAUUCACUAGCUCUGUUAAUGAUAAGCUUCACUCUCUUCCCUAUGCCAUCCCCUCAACAACUUCUAAAAAUAAUUAAUUAAAUAAAAA